UGGGUGACGUCACAGGGGAACCAUCGAGCGCCGCCGCGGCCGCCUAGAGCGGCCUCGGCAGUGGCCUCGCUUCCGGCCAUUGUGGGUCCGGGCGCGCGGGUCGGGCCCCCGGCGCGAGACCCUGCGCGUGCCCCGGCGCCAGGCCCCGCCCCUCCCCCCCCCGGAGCGGUGAGUGGGGCCCCAGAACCCCCCGGGGCGGGGGCUGCAGCCGCGGAGGCUUCUGGGAGGAGCCAAAGGGAGGCCAGCGGAGCCAGCCGGGUCACGGGUUCCAAUCCUGCCCCUGCCCUAAUAUUCCCGUGUCUUCAUGGACAGAGCGUGUUAUGGGUGGAUAAACACGGCUCCUCCCUGCGUCAGUCCAGACGGCGGAUCUCGCUUCCCACCAUCCCCGAUGAACCGCCCGGCCGCAGCCGCUCUCACCGAGACCGGCUUCCUGCCUUCCUCUCCCUCUCCGUGAUGACUGGGGGAACAUGUCCGAGGACAGGGAACCCGCCUUCAAGGAAGAAAUCAUGGAAGAGGUAAAGAUUAAUCUGUCGACGGUACAUAUGGAGCGCCUGCCCCCGCGCGGAGCCCGGGUUGAGUCCUGGACUCCCUCAGUUACCCCAUCCGCAGAACGGGGGUAAUAACGUUGGUGUUUGUUAAGCGCUUCCUCUGUGCAGAGCACUGUUCUAAGCGCUGGGGGAGAUACGGGGUCAUCGGGUCGUCCCACGUGAGGCUCACGGUGAAUCCCCGUUUUCCAGACGAGGUAACUGAGGCACAGAGAAGUGAAGCGACUCGCCCACGGUCACACAGCUGACGAGUGGCAGAGCCGGGAGUCCGAACCCAUGACCUCCGACUCCGAAGCCCAGGCUCUUUCCACCGAGAAGACUGUGAGCCCCACGUGGGACAGCCUUGAUGACCCCCAGCGCUUAGAACAGUGCUUGGCACAGAGUAAGCACUUAACCAAUACCCUUAAUUCUAAUAGAGUAGAAUUCCCGAGCAGGACCCGUACCCUCAAGGAGCUUACAGGCUAACAGCAUGUAUUGCCAACUGCGGGCAGAGCGGUGCUCUGAGCACUUGGGAACGUGCUUAGGACGGUGCUUUGCGCACUGUCAGCGCUCAAUACAUAGGAUCGAAUGAAUGAAAGUGCCAGAGAGUUAGAGAUAAAAGCUGAAAUUACGCGGAGGGAGAGGGAUGGAGGAGGAGGAGGGAAUGGCAGUGCAUCGGGGGUCCUGAGUGAAGAGAGACUGAGCUGAGUAGUCCCUGGAAUGAAAAGGGGCUACCCUGGGCUAGUUUCUGGGAAGCUCUCUCGGGGUUCUUAGUUACAAUAAUAAUCAUAAAUAAUGGCUUUUGUUAAGCGCUUACUACGUGCCAACCGCUGUUCGGAGCCCUGGGGUAGAUAUAAUCAGGCGGUUCUCCGCGGGGCUCCCGGUCUCGAUCUGUAAAAUGAGGUCACUGAAGCACAGAGAAGUGACUUGCCCGCAGUCACCCCAGCUGACUAGUGGCGGGGGCAGGAUUAGAACCCACGCCCUCUGACUCCCAAGCCCGGGCUCUGUCCGCUAAGCCACACCGCUUCUCUUAUUAUUUAUCCCCCCCACCCCCUGUAGGGAGCAAUGCCCCAGUAUUGGGUGGAAAGGAGAGUUUACCUGGUGGUAUUUAUUGAGCGCUUACUAAAUGUAGAGAACUGUACUGAAAGCAACCGGGAGAGGAUCAUACAACAGGAUUAGCGGGACAGUCAUUCAUUCGAUAGUAUUUAUUGAGCGCUUACUAUGUGCAGAGCACUGUUCUAAGCGCUUGGAACGCACAAAUCGGUAAGAGAGACCGUCCCUGCCCUUUGACGGGUUUAAAGUCUAAUCGGGGGAGACGGACACACAAGAACAAUGGCGAUAAAUCGAAUCGAGACAUGCUCCCUGCCCGUAACGAGCUCAACCAGGAAUAUAACAGUCCUUCACCACGCCCCAGGUGAGGAGCCGUGUGGCCCAGGGGGUGGAGCCAGGGGCCUGGGAGUCAGAAGGAUCUGGAUUCUAAUCCCGCCUCCGCCACUUGACUGCUGCGUGACCAUGGGCCAGUCGCUUCACUUCUCUGUACCUCCGUUGCCACUUCUGUAAAAUGGGCGUUCAGAGUACGAGCCCAUGUGGGACAGGGACUGUGUCCGACCCGAUGAACUUGUCCCUACCCCAGGGCGUGGUAAUAAUUACAAAUGCCGGUAAUUAUUAGUGCUGGGUCUUGGGGACCGCGGGAACUGAGGGGGGGAGGCUUGUGACGUUUCAGGCGUCGGUGACGUUCGAGGACGUGGCCGUGUCCUUCGCCCAUAAAGAGUGGGAGGGUCUGAACCCCGCUCAGCGCAACCUGUACUGGGAUGUGAUGCUGGAAAAUUAUGGGAAACUCGCCUCCCUGGGUAAGUCCUCCGCCCUGUCGGGUGAACGUCUGUGUGUUUGUGUGUGUGUGUGUGUGUGAGAGAGAGAGGAAAGAGAGAAAAAGGGAGAGAAGAGAGUUUUGGUCUCGUUCCCGCAGCCUUCCCCCACCUUCUUCCCCCACCUUCUUCCCCUUGAGCCCAUGCCUCCCCCAAGCCCCUCGUCCGGUGCUUUGCACUCAGUUAAGCACUCCGUAAAUACGAUCGAACGAAUGAGCCGUCCAGCCCGACCCCCGGCUUUGAGACGGGGGCCUGGGGUAGGUCAGAUUCAGAAGAUUUAGAAUCUUUUCCUGACCCACAGCCCAGAGAGGGCAGACGGGAUAAACGUUGCCGGGGAUAAGGUGUCCGCUCCCGGACCCUCCCCCACAUUUUGGGGUCCGCCCGCCAGGAUCCCGGACCCUCGGGUCCUCCUCACCUGUGCCGGCUCCCAUCCCGUCAGCCGCUGAGGCCCCAGUAGGCGGGACCGAGCUCUGGGAGAUCUCUGAGGGGGACACCGAAGCACAGCGUCUGGUUUCCCUCCCCACGAACAGGGU
This 2922-nucleotide long non-coding RNA is filed under the name Ornithorhynchus anatinus (platypus). Its description in RNAcentral is "lncRNA (ENSOANG00000045446.1)". Lineage: Eukaryota; Metazoa; Chordata; Mammalia; Monotremata; Ornithorhynchidae. The record is from RNAcentral.